RNAcentral lists this ribosomal RNA (468 nucleotides) under uncultured bacterium. RNAcentral's name for it is "partial 16S ribosomal RNA". It matches the Rfam family "Bacterial small subunit ribosomal RNA", at positions 28 to 507 of the family's 1533-position model. The record is from RNAcentral.
GAUGAACGCUGGCGGCGUGCUUAACACAUGCAAGUCGAACGGUGAAGGCGGAGCUUGCUCUGCUGGAUCAGUGGCGAACGGGUGAGUAACACGUGAGCAAUCUGCCCCUGACUCUGGGAUAAGCGCUGGAAACGGCGUCUAAUACUGGAUACGAGCUGCGAAGGCAUCUUCAGCAGCUGGAAAGAAUUUCGGUCAGGGAUGAGCUCGCGGCCUAUCAGCUUGUUGGUGAGGUAAUGGUUCACCAAGGCGUCGACGGGUAGCCGGCCUGGGAGGGUGACCGGCCACAAUGGGCCUGAGAGAGGGCCCAGACUCCAACGGGAGGCAGCGGUGGGGAAUAUUGCACAGUGGGCGAAAGCCUGAUGCAGCAGCGCCGCGUGAGGGACGACGGCCUGCGGGUUGUAAACCUCUUUUAGCAGGGAAGAAGCGAAAGUGACGGUACCUGCAGAAAAAGCGCCGGCUAACUACGUG